CACACACACACACACACACCGAAUGCACUCUGACGAGCAAAAAUCUCACCAUCAUGAUCCGCCGUGAUGACUCACUAAACUAUGGGGGAGGAAUACCUGACUCAUCAGAAAGCUCCACCGGUGCCAACACUUCGUCCUGCAGCCUCUCUAACCAGUCCCACACACACACACACACACACAUGCGCACACACACUGCGUAUAUACUCUGUACAUGCACACGUGCACGCUCCACCAACACCAACACCAACUAUCCCACCAACACACACAUGGAACCUACAGAUGGAUACCAAGUUUUUCUGCUCAGAUCAUCCUUGGUGGGAUGAAGGUGAGGAACCAGGGGACACCAGAACCGUGCAGAACCGUGCAGAUGUGUGUCGUCUCUUAUGUAUUUAAGAGUAGCAUUCUCAGGCCUUGCCCUUGUCAGAAGGCCGUUGCCAUGGCAACGAAUCGCCAAAACAAAAACACAGCUGAGAACUCUUACUAUACAAAACCCCAUGCUGUAAUAAGUGUGUGUGUGUGUGUGUGUGUGUGUGUGUGUGUGUGUGUGUGUGUGCAAGAGAGAGGCCAUGUACAUGCUUAAGAGAUGCUCAUCUUUGUGUAAAGCUACAAGGUACAAAACAAGAACUGUAACUAAAGUACCGUUUUUAAAGCGUGCCUUAUGUUACCUGGAUAAGGACUGACAAGGACCCAUUUCGGAAGCAAAGAACCUCUGAUUAUCAAGUUACACCCUGAGGAACAAUUUUAUUCUGGACGUUCACUUUCCCAUCUAGCCCCCUGAAGCGUUUUGGGGGAACCCUUACAGGUUCUAUGUAGAACCUCUAAAUGUAGAACCCCUUUAAUCUACCCUUUAAGACUACUAAACGCUCUUUUCAAACCUUCGAGGCUGAGAGAAAGAGAAAAAAAAAAAAAAAAAAACAACUCCCACACACUAAAAACUCCUACAAACAACUCAGAAGAUGGACAAUAGCAGGAGAAAAAUGUACAAGAAGGGGUUUCCUUAAAAUGUUCCUGGUUCUUCAGUGGAAAUUACACGCGGUAUUAGACAUCAGGGUUCUCUCUCGGCCUGGAGACACGGCUCCGCUCUCCAUCUGCCCCGCCGCAGGCCUGAACGUUAGUGCUGGGUUAUUAAUUCACCUGCAGCACUGUCGUGUCUCCCGAGCCAUUGCAUAUCCCCCCCCCCCCCCCUCUUGUUUUAUAAUCCUGCACAGACGGAGCGCUUUAGACACCGCUUCACGUUUUUACGCACGAUGGUCGAUUUCACGCGCGAUUAUGCGAGUAAUACGUGUUCACCAUGUUAUGGAGUAACUGCUUGUGACAUUAUGUAAACAAUGUGGGAUCGCAGGCAUCUAAUUAACGGGGAAAAAAAUUGUCAGGUCAGAAAAAUAUGAAGCGGGGCGGGGCGGGGGGGUUCACGUGAAAUAUAAAAACAUGCUCUACACGUGAAAUAAUAAUGUGAGAAUGAAUAGGGGGAAAAAAUCUCAUGUCAAAAUACAAGAAUCAUGGUGGGGGGGGUGGGGGGAUCAUGUGAAACAAACACAUGCACUGUUAAAAUAAAUGAAUCAUGUGUAAAAAAAAAAUAAUAAUAAUAAUAAUAAAAAUGGAAGAAGCAUAUGAAAAAAAUGAAAAUGAAGAAAUCAUGUGUAAAAAGAAAAAAAAAAGAAAACCCUGCUGGAAAAAAACCCAAAAAACAAUAGAAACCUUCAUAAAAUUUGUAAUGGUUUUAAUGCUUAUAAUGGGAAUUGUAUAGGUUUUAAUGGAAAUUGUAAUGGUCCCUAUAUGUCUCUACUGGUAUUUUAUCUUCCUUCUAUUGGUGGCUUGUUAUGUCUAGUGGAUACCAUUAAGGACCUACAUCCUUAACCUUAAUACUUCCUAAUAUGUAAUGGAAACCAUUUGGUAAUGGGUUUUAAUGGUUAACAGCUAAUGGUUUGUAAUGGUAUUUGUAGUUGAAACCAUUAGAAUUUCUCUGAAGGUUUCUAUUGUUUUUUUUGUUGUUGUUGUUUUUGUUUGUUUGUUUUUCCGAACAGGGAAACAAAACAUUACACUACACGUGAAAAUGUUUGAAACAUAACGUCCAACCGAGGUGUGAAAAUCUCCUGUGUGAAUCCUGUGAUUAUUCAUUUGUGUGACUUUUCCCGGUACUGGAUCUCAAAACCUCAAAAUUGGCAUCAAAUCUAGAGCAAGUUGAUCACAGAUAAGAGAAGCAAUAAAUCUAAUCUAAUCAAAUACAAUACAGAAAGCACACACACACACACACACACACACACACACACACACACACACACACACACACAAAACAUGAAGAAAUGAUAGAACUAAUAACAAAUCAAAACACAACAUGGUUUUCUGGGAAACAGAUCCUCUCUUGGUCCAAAACAGAACAGCGUGUUUUAAUGAAUAAUUAAUGAUGUUACAGCACACCGAACCAUGCCAGUGUCAAUAUAACACCGGCCGUGAUGGGAAAAGCUCAGGAUGAACCGAUCGACCGAGCCGAAGCAGAGCCAAACUCAGCCGAUCCAUCUCACAUGAAGUGCAGCAAACUUGCAUCAUACGCUUUAUUUACCAAGCAAUACUUACGUCUAUUUCUGGUGGCCAGCAUUGACACAAACACUCUCCUGCCUCGAACGAUAAAUUUACUGACUCUUUUUUUUUUUUUUUUUUUUUUCAGCGAACAUACAGAGCUAGUUAACAAAAUCAACAAGCCAAGACCCUGCUAUGAUUUAAACAGGAGAUAAGUGCCAUGAUAAAUAUUACUUCUCUGCUGUAAAAUCUCCUCACAUCCACUCAGACCGUUCCACACUGAGAGAAACCUGUACCCCCACCCCACCCCACCCCUCCCGUCCUCUCUCCUCCCCACCCCACCAUCAUUACCCAGUGAAGCACAACAACAAAAAAAAACAUGCUCUCUUACCUGGCUGUUAGCUGUUUCACCCAAGCAGCAUGUUUACACCACAUAUGUAAAGAUAGUACCUUUUUUUUUUUUUUUUUUUUAAAAAAAAAAAGUUAACAUACAAUCCUAUAACUCGAAAAACCAAUUCAAAAGCUGCUGAACUUUCUUCACAGCUUCUUUGCUAACUUCUUUGCUAACUUUCCUCCACUCAGGAUUUCUAGUACUAGCUAUCUUUGCUGGUCCUGUUUUUAGACACUACAAAAUUCCCGGACUUUUUUUUUUUUUUUUUUUUUUGUCCCCCUCCUCUGUUAAUUUAGCACGAAAUAAAUAUCUUAAAGCUGUAAGGAAUUGUGCAGGAAUGUAGCAAAGGACGUAAGAGACGUCUAUAUUGUGUGAGUCUUAGGAGAGCGUUAACACGAACUGCUAGUGUGUGCCGCCUGAUGGCUUUAUUUAUCGCAGUAAAUGACUAAGGUGAGUCUCACUUGGUGAAUCAGCAGGUGUCAGAUCUCGGCAGCAAAGAAACAGCAAAGUUGAGUGGGCACACACACACACACACACGUACACACACACACACACACAUACACACACACUUUUGUAGUCUCUGAGGAGCACUCCACCUUUGCUAGCGCUAUGUGGGCUGAUUCCAGAGGCACCCACUGAAGAGGCAUGAUUCACCCAACCCUCUGUUCAUGUUCGUGUGUGUGUGUGUGUGUGGUAAAUAAAUGUAAAACAGUGAUUAGCAUGUUGCUGCCUCUAACUCUCUCUGCCCAAGACACAGCUCUUCUUAAUAUCCAUCAGAAAGCCCUGAUCCACCCCGUCGAACCUGUCAAGCUGAGGUUAGACGUCUCAGUGAAAUGUAUCAUGGGUAAUCCUUUAAUACGCACUGUCUGCUUCUACACUUAGUACGUCAGACAUCGACCACAGGAGGUUUGAAGCAUCUGUGGGAAAGUCUCACUGCCUGGUAAUCAAAAUCAUUACUUUGUCACAGGUGGACAAAUCAUAACAAAUUCAUUAGCUAGACCACUGGAUAAUUCGAAGCUCAGGAAACUAAGCGACAAAGCUAUAAAGUUGUUGCUGACGUAACGUAAUAGCAUAUGGUGAGAGUUAGGUAGAUAUGCGCAUUAAUACUGACACAAACGGGUAUAUAAAUGUCUGUGAAGGAGAUGACUGGGCCUUUUCUAAGAAUGUUUUUUUUUUUUUAAAGUAGCACAUUGUGCUUGUUUAAAAAAAAAAAAAUUAAAAAUGUCAGCAAGUCAUUGGCCAACAUUUGGCUUUGAGCGGUGGUGUUUUCUCACAUAAGAGAUAUUAUUCAAUCAAACCAGCAUGUUUAUUUUCUUCCUCCAAGAGGUUUCACUUUCUUGCCAAAUGAUAAAGGCUGAAAAAAGGCACGGAAAUAGCUUAUAUUUGGAAAAUCUCUAAUGGUUCCUCUCAUAUUAGUGGCCGUAAUGGGAAUCUGGAAUGGGCUUAAAGGUUUCCAUUUGGAAUUUUAUGGUUACUAUGAAACACAGCCAGAACCCACCCUGCUGGAAAAACAAAACCCCGAUAGAAACCAUCACAGAAAUUAUGAUGGCUUCCAUUACAAAUACCAUUACAAACCAUCAGCUAACUAUUAACACCAUUACUAUUACGAUUAUUGGUUUUUAAAUGGUAUCCACUAGACAUAACAUGCCAUCAAUAGAAGCCAACAGAUUACCAAUAGAGACCCACAAGGACAUUACAGUUUCCAUUAAAACCAAUACAAUUCCCAUUACAAAUUCUAUGACGGUUUCUGUUGUUUUUUUUUUUUUCCUCAGCAGAGCAAUAUGGCCUUCUUUCAUGGGUUGAAGAUUACUAAUUACUACCCAAAUAACAUAAUAUAAUCCAUCAGGAACCACUAGGAACAUCACAUUCCAUUAAACUACAAAAACCCACUAGAAAUGCGUUCUAAUUAUUAUUUUUUUCAGCAAGAUAGUACUUUAAAAAGACCCGUUAACAGGCAGACAUAUACUUCAGACUCAUGAACAACCAAAAGCAAUUAAAUAAACAUUUAAUAAUGUUCAGUGCUUUUUUUUUUUUACACAACGUUGGCAGCUCUUUUCCAUUCUGUAAUCCUGGCUAAUUUGGCUACACUCUCCGAAAUGGCUAAAUCGAGCAUCAUAAGGGAAUUUUUUAGUCUGUCCUUUCGGGGGAAGCCUUUGUUAGAGAGGGAUUUUCCUUAUGCAGAAGGUUUGUAUAAGGAAGACGGAGUGUGUGUGUGUGGGGGGGGGGGGGUGUAUUUACAAAGCCAGAGCACUUAAAUGUAUGAAGAACCUUUCAGUAAUCGUUAAAUUUUUCUAAGAGUAUAACCCUGCAUUAGACAGGACUCUACAGGGCUUAGUUGUUCCUCAGACUGAGAAGUUGGUUACGUAUCCCAAACUCUAAUACAUGUCAGAAACACGUUGUGUAAAUGAGAUGCUUCUCCUGCUCCUGUGGAGGCCUAAGUUCCAACCUGGAAUGCACAUGCUGCUGGAGCAAAAGUCACAAAACCAAACAGACGCUGUCCAGAGGAUACAAGAAGGAGCAGUACAAUGAGUCAUAAACAAGCAUCCAUGGUGUGUGUGUGUGUGGUGGGGGGGGGGACCCCAGCCUGUAUAUUCAUUCUGCAUUAUGUAAUAGUAAAUGUGAACUACAUCUGCAGCUGAAUCAUGAGCAGCGGUCCAUGCGUCUCAUGGCAACAGCAAUUAUUUAUUCUAUUAAUAACGCCGCUCAUACAUACACCACCAUGCCCUUUUAUUUUGGAUUGUUUGUAACGCACUCUACAUUCUAUCACAUGCAGCCACAUUCAGGCACCAAAUAGACCAAGUGAAAGGUUAAUUACGAAACACGAACAUCUUCCCUGCUUAAUUUUAUGUUGUGACACGUAUUGUAUUUGCUCGUGAUUGAAAGACCCGAGGUCUACUUAUGUUAAAUGUCGAGUUUUGUUCCACUGCUCCAGAAAGUUCCCGUUUCAUAUUUCUUUCCCCCGUAUUCUCCCUAAUUUAGUCCUGGCCAAUUCCCAGCCUCCAGCCAACUCUUCCCUAACAGCUACGAUCCGCAAAGGGUGAAGUCCUUGAUACAAACUGCCCCUCGUGCUGUGUCACGGGGCGACGGAGGAACGCUCUAUCUACCUUCUUCCGCAUACACGAGCUCACAGACGUCCACGAUUGGCUAGUAUUCCUGUGAUUGACAGGCGAGAGAGAGAAUUCCAUCCCUCCCACUUAGAGGUUCCAGACUUACUUCCUGUACUAACAAAAAAGCCCCGCCUCUGGACUUCAUCGGCUGCUCGCUCUCGACCGAGCCGAAACUCGUUACGGCAGUGGGCGUUUCCUUUUUGAAACACGCUGACAGCGGUAGACCAAUCACAACAGACCGGGACGUCUGACCAAUCAGAGCAGAGUAUGCUCUCUGAACAGAGGAGUUUAGAACGAAUCCUUUAGAACGGAUCAUCGAACGAAUCGUUUUAGACACGGGGGGGUAACGCUGCAGUUUAAAUUACGAGCACGUUAAAGUGUUUUUUGAUCUCGGAUGCGUGUAAAUCCAUCGUAUGAGACCUUUAAAACAAAAUUAGGCACGUCUCAAAACCAUAAUAGGUGCGCUUUAAGGUCUUGCCAUCAUAUCUUAAGCUCCUGGCAAAAGAAACCAGAUUGGCGUAAACAUCCUGGCACUUAGCAGAAUGUAUGAUUUUUUAUCAGUCUUCAUAAGAGCCCAUGGACUACGCUAAUCAUAAACAGCCGGCAAUUCAUCAACGAUCCACCUCCAGUGGGUUGGGAAGCUUUUCCAAAAUGGCACGCAGCCAUUUUCAUGCAGCAGGUUAGAUCUUUAUAAGCGCAUUUCUAUUAGCCCAAGUCUCAUGAUGAAAUUCUGUUUUAACAUUAUAAUAAGAAUUUACAAAACGUCAUAAGAAUGAACAAAAGCUCGUUUUCAAGAUAGAAUAUUUCAACUAAAUUCAGGCCAACCUGGUGAUCUCAUCUGUAUUCAUACUGUUGUCUGCUGUGUCCAGACCUUCAGCUCCUCUCCUGUCGAACGCACGCAUCAGAUCAGCAUCUAAUAUUACGCAGUUGUCAGCGAGUAGGAUAUUCAUGAUACAUGCUGACACACGACCUCGUUAAAUUGGUGUCUGGCGGCACGCCUCUGUGUGAACGCUCAAUUAACUGGACGCGUCUGCAUCGGCAAUGAGGACGUGGGAUGGGAACUAUUUGCAUAUUUACUUCUAUAAAAAGCAGACAGAAGGGCAGGGUUAUAUUGUGUUACAUCAUCUGAUACCGCUGCGCUGUUGAAUCCUUGAAUCCGAUUGGUCACGGGGUGUUAUAGAAACUAAUAUGUUAGCGUUUCUAUAGUAACAGCUCACUCACAGGGACUUGUACGAUGGACGCACCAUGUAAUCUAAUACUAAUAAUAAAUGAAUAUUUAAAAAACGUGCUGUUAUACUGUAUAACAUAGAACAGCUUACAUAUGUUGAUAUGGUAUAUCUGUUAGAAGUUUAUUUAACAUUUAUUGAAGUAGAUCGUGAUGGAACGGCUGUUUAUACGUGCGAUAGAACUUGUCUCGCGGAUCUUCCACAACAUUAAAUGUAGCUAGAAAUGGUUAAAAAGCACAAUGUGCCAUGACACACCACAUUGUGGAUUAUUUUCCUAUAACGACGUGGCCCGAAAGGUGUUAUUCCUUACGUAAAUAAGAAUGUGAGAGUGUCACCGCUAUCAUCAACACCUUUAUAAUAUAAUUGCUAACUUGUUAUUCAUAGUGAAGUGUUGUUGUUGUUGUUGUUGUUGUUGUUGUUUUCUCACUAAGUGUUUCAUUAUGUUUUCUUUUUCUCGCUUUUUUUUCCUCGUUUUAAAUUAAAAGUCACUUAACUCUUUAGGUAUGUGCUUGGAUUUGAUCAAUACUUUUAUUUUAUAGUGGAAUGAAAUAGUUUAAAAUCCCCAUAUAUUACAAGAAGCCCUUUAUUGUUACAUCUGCACAGAGAG
Molecule: long non-coding RNA, 7848 nt
Organism: Ictalurus furcatus (blue catfish)
Lineage: Eukaryota; Metazoa; Chordata; Actinopteri; Siluriformes; Ictaluridae
Exons: 4
Source: RefSeq, a predicted model, not a curated record